Molecule: ribosomal RNA, 274 nt
Filed under: uncultured bacterium
Lineage: Bacteria
Description: partial 16S ribosomal RNA
Rfam family: Bacterial small subunit ribosomal RNA
Source: RNAcentral
AUACGGAGGUUGCAAGCGUUGUUCGGAAUUAUUGGGCGUAAAGAGCAUGUAGGCGGACUGUUAAGUCUGGUGUGAAAGCCCGGGGCUCAACCCCGGAAGUGCAUUGGAUACUGGCAGUCUUGAGUAUGGGAGAGGAAAGUGGAAUUCCGAGUGUAGGAGUGAAAUCCGUAGAUAUUCGGAGGAACACCAGUGGCGAAGGCGGCUUUCUGGACCAAUACUGACGCUGAGAUGCGAAAGCGUGGGGAGCGAACAGGAUUAGAAACCCCAGUAGUCC